CUCUUGUGCAGGGCGAGCGCCCUGUGUCUCUGCUUCACCUCGGGGCUUUUCUUGGCCCUUCGGCGCGCAGAGACCUCGCAUUGUGGAAGCGAGAGGCGGACAGGCCAGGGGGCUGGAUGCCACCAGUAUCCCCCCGGAGGGGAGGGGGAGCGAUCCCUGGGCCGGCAGAGGAGGAAAAGCGCAGUGGAAACCCCAACACUGGCCACUCCCUUGCGCCAGACCUGGGACAGUCGGAGUCCCCGGGUGGCAUCUGCCUCGCCUCCAGCACAGAGGCGGCGCGCGCGUCGGUGAUUCACACGUCUGGGUUUCAGGCGGCCAGCUCCUGAGGGAGGAACGGUUCGAUUUUCCCGUCCCGCUUUUCUUUAGACACACAGAGGGAAACCUGCUGUACUACUUGAAGUAAUCUACUUCCCCUUGGGCCAGGUAAAGAAUGAAAUUGAAACACACAAGAAGAGAACUCAUUUCAUAUAUAUGGCAGCUUUCUUUAUUGAUUGCUUGAUGUGAAACAAUAUCAAUUGACAAUUUUUUCUCACGCAUUACAAAAAAAUAUUAAACUUGGCUCAGUCUGCAAUCCUUUCAGCACAGCCAUAUUAAUUAACAGAAAAAGAAAAAAAAACCAGAAACAAACAAAAAAAAACCCUAAAAGUCUACCAAAUAGAGCAUUUACAAAUGCACAAAACAUGCCACUUUGGCUUUAUGGGGAAAAAUAUCUUCUUCUAGAUUAAAAAAAUCUUUUAACAUAAAUAAGUUAGUAUAAUUUCUCAGUGUCUUUACAAAGUUAUGUACACAGGUACACUUCAAACUUAUGUUUUUAUUUUUACAUACAGAUACACAGGCAAUGUAGAAAUACUUUUUAAAGAUGUAGUGUCCCUUUUCAUGCACUCAUGAACAUCAGGGAAAAGAGAUCAGAAAUCAACAAUAUUUUAUUUUGGAAUAUGAACUCCCCAGAUGCAUUUGAAAAUAUCCAGAUGUUAUGGGUAAUAGUUAUAGUCAGUGGAACUACUCUAAAAUUCUUUAGUUUAUCCUAAGAGAUUUCGGGAGUUGCAGGACAUAAAAAUCCUUUUCCUGCUACAUAACGGAAUCAGAGUUCCCACCUCUUAAGCUUAACACAGUAAGUAGAAAUUCACAGAGGGUAACAGUCUCCUGUAGCCAGUGCUAGCAUUAUGGUGUAUUUUUUUAAAAGAUAUCAUAGAUCCCACUUACAGGGACAAUACAUCUUUAAUUUUUUUUAAAGAACCUCUACACUGCUUCUCUUCAUAAAUUUCCCUGCUUGCUAGAUUGUAAAAGCAAGUUUCAAUUGGUCACCCUUUUCCAUCCCCUCCCCCCAUCCCUACAAAUGUUUAUGUGCUACAUAAAGUAAAAACUAUAUACACAGGUAGUACAAUAAAGCAAAUAAGGAAAAACCUAAUUGCACAAUGCUACAUCCAAUGCUUUUAGAGGCAGGUCUUUUAAGAGUGCCUAAAAUUUUAGUGUUAUUGUUUUUUUGUUUUUUUGUUUUUUUCAGUGCUUGUACAGGAUCUCCAUCCCAUGGAGAAUCAACGAUAUGUAUUUUAAUUUUAUAUAUAUUUAUAUAUAUAUAACUUUACAUCUUCCUCCCUUCAUCAACCACUGAGGCAUCCGAUGAACAAGGAAAUGUAUAUUCUUAAUUCU
Pelodiscus sinensis (Chinese soft-shelled turtle) is the source of this 1650-nucleotide non-coding RNA. The record is from RefSeq and is a predicted model, not a curated record. Lineage: Eukaryota; Metazoa; Chordata; Testudines; Trionychidae.